CGGCUGUCAGUAACACGUAGUCAACUUACCCUAUGGACGAGGAUAAUCUCGGGAAACUGAGCAUAAUACUCGAUAGAUCAUAAUGCCUGGAAUGGUUUAUGGUUGAAAUGAUUCGUCGCCAUAGGAUGGGACUGCGGCCUAUCAGCUUGUUGGUGAGGUAAUGGCCCACCAAGGCGAUUACAGGUACGGGCUCUGAGAGGAGAAGCCCGGAGAUGGGUACUGAGACAAGGACCCAGGCCCUAUGGGGCGCAGCAGGCGAGAAAACUUUGCAAUGUGCGAAAGCACGACAAGGUUAAUCCGAGUGAUUUCUGCUAAAGAAAUCUUUUGCAAGUCAUAAAACCACUAGUGAAUAAGGGGUGGGCAAGUUCUGGUGUCAGCCGCCGCGGUAAAACCAGCACCUCAAGUGGUCAGGAGGAUUAUUGGGCCUAAAGCAUCCGUAGCCGGCUCUGUAAGUUUUCGGUUAAAUCCAUGUGCUCAACGCAUGGGCUGCCGAAAAUACUGCAUAGCUAGGGAGUGGGAGAGGUAGACGGUACUCGGUAGGAAGGGGUAAAAUCCUUUGAUCUAUCGAUGACCACCUGUGGCGAAGGCGGUCUACCAGAACACGUUCGACGGUGAGGGAUGAAAGCUGGGGGAGCAAACCGGAUUAGAUACCCGGGUAGUCCCAGCUGUAAACGAUGCAGACUCGAUGAUGCAUUGGCAUAUAGCCAGUGCAGUGUCGCAGGGAAGCCGUUAAGUCUGCCGCCUGGGAAGUACGUACGCAAGUAUGAAACUUAAAGGAACGGCGGGGGAGCAG
Molecule: ribosomal RNA, 793 nt
Filed under: uncultured marine thaumarchaeote
Lineage: Archaea; Thermoproteati; Nitrososphaerota
Description: bacterial SSU rRNA
Rfam family: Archaeal small subunit ribosomal RNA
Source: RNAcentral